This 447-nucleotide long non-coding RNA is filed under the name Nicotiana benthamiana. RNAcentral describes it as "long non-coding RNA (NBEN_LNC014073)". The record is from RNAcentral. Lineage: Eukaryota; Viridiplantae; Streptophyta; Magnoliopsida; Solanales; Solanaceae.
GGUAGUUUCUUUUCACUAACUAUUCAUAUUGUUUUGACUCUAGUUUUACUGGAUUGCAGAGGUGGUUCGGGCAUGUGCAGAGGAGAAGUCCUGAUGCCCCGGUGAGGAGUUGUGAGUGUCUGGCGAUUGUCGGCGUUCGGCGAGGCAGAGGGAGGCCUAAGAAGUAUUGGGGAGAGGUGAUGCCGAUAUAUAAACUUUUGGGUUUCCCAUUUGAACACCUUUACUUGAGAAAAUGACACCUAAGAAGUAUUGGGGAGAGGUGAUUAGGCAUGGCAUGGCUAGAAUGCGGGUUUCCGAGGACAUGACCCUUGAUAGGAAUGUCUGGAGGUCUAGUAUCAGGGUCGUAGGAUAGGGGCUCAUAGAGUUUUUCGUACUCCUCUCCCGGGGUUGGGUGAGGCUUAGCAGGGCUAUCCAUAGAUGAUUUGUGUUUUGGCUUGUGUCUCNNNN